RNA transcript from Zea mays, 2120 nucleotides. It is a transcript of the gene named serine/threonine protein kinase pseudogene, with no coding region annotated. The transcript is spliced from 6 exons. Lineage: Eukaryota; Viridiplantae; Streptophyta; Magnoliopsida; Poales; Poaceae. The record is from RefSeq and is marked validated.
GUCCGCAGCUCUGCCCCACCUCACAUCUGCGCCCGCAAUCCACGCCUCCGUCGCCGCAGCCCUUCCUCCACGCAGCGUCCGUCCAUCCAUGGCUCUCCCUACACGCAGCGUCGUGCCGCUUUCCGCAAUCCGUGCCUUAAUCCCCUUCCUUCGCGCAGCACCCUUCCAUCCAUGGCUCGCUUCCAGAAAUCCCCCUACCUACGGCGCAGCGUCGCAGUCCGGAAUCCACCCCCAAAAUCACUACCCACUCUGCGGCGAUGGAAGGGAAUCGAAACGCGUGCUUCCCCCUUCCAUCCUCGGCGUUGCGCGGAUUGCAUGGCCAUCGUUUCGCGCCCCCAAUCCGUCGAUGCAAGGAACACGUGCUUCCCCCUUCCAUCCUCGACGCUGCGCGAAUUGCAGAUUGCGAAUUGCAUGGUCAUCGUUUCGCCCCAGUUCAUUGCCCGCAUCAGAUGGAAGGGCGCCCCGAUCUGCCUCACCUCCAUCAAUGAGGUGUCUGCCUUUCUUGCAUGGAGACGCCAAAGAGAAGGAACCAGUCACUAAGUCGGCCUCUGUACGGUCCAUGAACACACAUCAACGGAGCGUGAUGUCCGCUCCGGUUCAGACUUCACCUCCUUGAAUGUUUCCGACAUGAGCGCCGAGUCGAUAAGGAGGACACAGUACCCCAGCUUCACUGACCGCCCAUCUAACCUGAGGGUGUUCUCCUUUGCUGAAUUGAAGAGUGCCACCCGCAACUUCCGCCGGUCUCUCAUGGUUGGCUAGGGUGGCUUUGGCUGUGUGUACAGGGGUGUCAUCAAGACCUCCGACGAUCUGAACGAACGAAUCGAGAUCGCUGUUAAGCAGUUGAAUCGUAAAGGACUUCAGGGAAGAGACGACGACAUGGAUGUAGAUUCCAUUCUUUGUGUGAGCACUACCGCCAUAUAGUUGACAACGAUGACCGACACUGUAGAUUCCAUUCUUUGUGUGUACACCAAGGUAUCGGUGUCUACGUUGAUCUGGCGAUGCGCUUUUCACGGUUACUGCGACCGUGAUGGGCAUCUAGGUGCUCAAACCAUUAGUUGGACUGAGGAACACGGAGCAGCAGCAACAAUAUCGUAAGGAGAGUGCAGAAGUUGGACAAAUGGUAUGCCAUAUCUUCAGUUCUCUUAUGAUGCUUCAGCGCUACAUCUUCAGUUUUCUCGGCUAAAAAGAGAUCAUAGUCAAUAGUAUACCUAUGUGUGAAAGCGCUAUGCUAUUUGCUUGUUUGCUGGGAGAAAGAAAAGAUAGAUGAAGGUAAUUAUACAAUUUCUAAUACAUUGUUCAGCUUUUGUUAUUUCUGCCAUAUGAUACACACUGGUCAUGAGGACAUGUCGAUUGUAGUUCACUGGUAUUGUUUUUUUAAAGGAAGCGGCAAAAGACUUGCCUCUUCAUUGUAUUAGAUUAGGAAAAAUAAGAUAAUCCACAGGACCGAAACACACACCGGAAGAGAAAAAAAAACAAAAUCAAAAUACAAAAAAAGUUCACUGGUAUUGUAAGCUUUGCAGAUAAGAGCACAACUUUUUCCCUCUUUUCUAAAAGGGAAGCUCAUGUUCAUUUCAGCAAUUCAGCUUCAACCAUUUGGCAUUCAUGUAAUAUUUCACAGGAGUUAAAGUGCACAUACCUAAUCAAGUCUGUGGGUCUCCAAUUCUGAAAUAGAAAGAUAAUUUAUGUUCUCAUCUUUCUGAAAUGAACAAGAUGACUGGCUUCUGGGUUAAGGUUUUUUAUAGAGCACCAUGACUUAUCAGUUUUGUGAACAACCCUAACUUAUGUGGUCCUGACACCACAAAACCUUGUCCUGAUGCUCCUCCCUUUUCUCCACCUCCUCCAUACAACCCUACAACCCCGAUGCAAUCACCAGGAAGUAGCUCUUCCACUACUGGAGCAAUUGCUGGUGGAGUGGUUGCUGGCGCAGCCUUGCUAUUUGCUGUUCCUGCUAUCAGUUUUGCCUAUUGGCGGCACAGGAAACCACAAGAGCAUUUUUUCAAUGUAUAUGGCUUCAAAGUUAGUCUUUGAUUAUUAUCUUUCUUGCAACAUAAGGGCAAACAACGUUUAUAUGUAGCAAACAAAUACAGUUUGCAAACGUUUUAGGAACAUGUUUUUACAAU